Molecule: unclassified non-coding RNA, 2901 nt
Filed under: Haliotis rufescens (red abalone)
Lineage: Eukaryota; Metazoa; Mollusca; Gastropoda; Lepetellida; Haliotidae
Description: coadhesin-like, transcript variant X1
Source: RNAcentral
CUGUAGGUGACAGUUAGGUUCUCCGAGGUGGACAGAGCGGUCAGCUAGAUUUGAUUCUUGGGACCAAAUUAGUUUCUCAUCCGAGCAGAGGGAGAUGACUGCAACACAAAUCUUCCUUGCAGCAAUCUGCCUGUGUGCAGUUGCUAUGCAGGCCACAGAUGCCGCGAGCUGCAGUUACAGGUACUCACGGAGAACAAGCUAUACAACCGAUUGUGGCUGGAAUGGCUGGCAACGAUGCUCAAGAUACCGAAUACAGUAUUACACAUCUACAUGUAAUCACGGCGGAUGGUCAGCUUACUCAAGCUGGACUAAUACCUGGGGUUGUUCUCGCACCUGUGGGGGAGGGGUCCAAAAUCAACGAAGAACACGCACCUGCACCAACCCCGUUCCAACCCCUAUACAUGGCAACAACUGUACUGGCUCGGCAACCCAGACACGAACUAUACCGUGCAACACGAAGGCUUGUCCAGUAAAUGGCGGCUGGAGCUCCUGGUCCAGUUGGUCGAACCAGGGAUCAUGUUCCAGCACAUGCGGCACUGACGGGACAGUAGCACAGAGGAGUACUCGCACCUGCACGAACCCAAGUCCUGCCAACGGAGGAACCGAGUGCAGUGGAGCGACAUACCAGCUCCGCUCUACGUCCUGUAACAGAACACCUUGUCCUAUUGACGGUGGGUGGACGGUUUGGUCCAACUGGGUUGACGAAGGCAUGUGCAGUGCAACAUGUGGGGGAGGUAUGCAGCGCCAAACUCAGGAGCGAAUGUGCACCAACCCCGCCCCGGAACACGGAGGAGCGGAGUGCAGCGGUGACAGCACACGUGCACAGAGCGUCGCUUGCAACACCCACAACUGCCCAGUUGACGGUGGGUGGACGGUUUGGUCCAACUGGGUUGACGAAGGCAUGUGUAGUGCAACAUGUGGGGGAGGAAUGCAGCGCCAAACUCAGGAGCGAAUGUGCACCAACCCCGCCCCGGAACACGGAGGAGCGGAGUGCAGCGGUGACAGCACACGUGCACAGAGCGUCGCUUGCAACACCCACAACUGCCCAGUUGACGGUGGGUGGACGGUUUGGUCCAACUGGGUUGACGAAGGCAUGUGUAGUGCAACAUGUGGGGGAGGAAUGCAGCGCCAAACUCAGGAGCGAACGUGCAACAACCCCGCCCCGGAACACGGAGGAGCGGAGUGCAGCGGUGACAGCACACGUGCACAGAGCGUCGCUUGCAACACCCACAACUGCCCAGUUGACGGAGGGUGGACACCAUGGUCAAGCUGGACAGAUGCCGGAGACUGUACAGUCUUGUGUGGCGGAGGAACCAAGGUCCAGACCCACGACCGAACCUGCACCAACCCUGCCCCCCAAUACGAUGGAGCUGACUGCGACGGCGAACCGGAAGAAGAACAGACUGUUGACUGCAACACCCACGCGUGUCCAAUCCACGGUGGAUGGUCUGACUGGACGGAGUUUGCCGACGAGGGAGAGUGUUCUGUACCUUGCGGGGGUGGUGACUUGCAGCAGAAGCGGAACAGGGACUGUAACACCCCCACUCCGGAACAUGGGGGUCGGCAGUGUGAGGGGAACAGCACCCAGACCAGCGUGGUUCCCUGCAAUACACACGAGUGCCCAGUUCAUGGCGGCUGGUCUGAGUAUUCUGACUGGACUCACGACGAUGAGUGCCCUGUGACUUGUGGCGGAAGUCCGAUCAUGGAGUCAAGGUCAAGGUCAUGUGAUGCCCCGGCUCCUGCUCACGGGGGUGAAGACUGCGAGGGUUCCGCGACUGAAAGCAGGCCAGGCGUAUGCAACAACAACCCAUGCCCAGUGAAUGGAGGAUGGAGUGAAUGGUCGGACUGGUCCCAAGACGGCCAAUGCUCAGCUUCGUGCGGCGGUGGCAACAUCAUCGAGAGUCAACAUCGACGAUGUGACACCCCUGCACCUGCUCAUGGCGGGGAGGAAUGUGACGGCGAUGAUGUGAACACAAGAGAGGCCGAGUGCAACACCCAAAAGUGCCCAGUGGAUGGUGGGUGGUCCGACUGGUCCGACUGGAGAGUUGACGGCAAAUACACUGUGACUGGACACAUCGGCACAGCAAGGAUGACCCACGAUCGAACCUGCACUAACCCUGUCCCGCAAUUCGACGGCAGCGAGUGCGAGGGCCCAAGCAAGGAAUACACCCAGGCCUCCUGCCAGGUUACACAGUGUCAGGGCAUCUGUGACGAUCGUUCUGUGACUUACGCCUACAAGGGAGAAUACACAGCCUUCUACCGCUGUAAUAACGACGGACAGAUGGCCAAGGCACAGUGUCCGAGCCGGGAAUACUACAAGACUGAUGAGAGCCGCUGUGUCAAGAUCUGUGCCCCAACCGGGGUCAGGAGUAUGCCCCACCCUGGACGCAAAUGCAACAAAUAUAUUUUCUGUGUGUUUGGUAGCCCCUGGGAGAUGCCAUGCUUUAGUCAGGACGCUAACUGCCCCAGCGACUGUGUUGAGUAAAGAUGGCCAUUUUCAGGAAAAAAGCUCAUAAUGUCCUGGUAUUAAAUACAAUCCUAAAUACUGGAAUUGCAUCAUUAUUUGAUUUACUGGAUUUGUUGUCAUAUUUUUUCAAUCGAACAAUAUUUGCAAAUGCUAUAAUUUGAAAACAUAACUUGCUGUCUCUUUGAGAAUAACACCCGCUGAUCACCAGUGAUCAUUGUCAAAGUACAAGGUAUAGAAAUUGAAUCGACCAAAUAGGGUUCAUUACUAAUAUGUACAUUGGUCUGGCGUUUGGCAUGGGGAUAAUGUCAGUCCGAAUAUACAGUAAUAGGCGAUUCAAAUAAGUCCGGAUAAGCAGGGUUCCACUGUAUGGAUGAUAAGUUUGUCUUUUCUUUUCUAGAAUGAUUAAUAAAUUUCCUUCACUAUCUGAAGCCGUA